UAGGGAAUCUUCGGCAAUGGACGAAAGUCUGACCGAGCAACGCCGCGUGAGUAAAGAAGGUUUUCGGAUCGUAAAACUCUGUUGUUAGAGAAGAACAAGGGUGAGAGUAACUGUUCACCCCUUGACGGUAUCUAACCAGAAAGCCACGGCUAACUACGUGCCAG
RNAcentral lists this ribosomal RNA (164 nucleotides) under uncultured bacterium. RNAcentral describes it as "partial 16S rRNA". It matches the Rfam family "Bacterial small subunit ribosomal RNA", at positions 355 to 511 of the family's 1533-position model. The record is from RNAcentral.